RNAcentral lists this ribosomal RNA (472 nucleotides) under uncultured bacterium. RNAcentral describes it as "SSU rRNA". It matches the Rfam family "Bacterial small subunit ribosomal RNA", at positions 26 to 518 of the family's 1533-position model. The record is from RNAcentral.
AGGACGAACGCUGGCGGCGUGCUUAACACAUGCAAGUCGAGCGGAAAGGCCCUUCGGGGUACUCGAGCGGCGAACGGGUGAGUAACACGUGAGCAACCUGCCCUUAGCUUCGGGAUAGCUCCGGGAAACCGGAAUUAAUACCGAAUAUGACUUUGGCUGACAUCAGCAGAAGUGGAAAGUUUUUCGGCUAGGGAUGGACUCGCGGCCUAUCAGCUAGUUGGUGAGGUAACGGCCCACCAAGGCGACGACGGGUAGCCGGCCUGAGAGGGCGACCGGCCACACUGGGACUGAGACACGGCCCAGACUCCUACGGGAGGCAGCAGUGGGGAAUAUUGCGCAAUGGGCGAAAGCCUGACGCAGCGACGCCGCGUGGGGGAUGAAUGCCUUCGGUUGUAAACCCCUUCAGCAGGACGAAGCGAAAGUGACGGUACCUGCAGAAGAAGCGCCGGCUAACUACGCGCCAGCACGCCGC